This is a non-coding RNA of Triticum urartu, 200 nucleotides long. The record is from Rfam. NCBI's taxonomy places the organism in Eukaryota, Viridiplantae, Streptophyta, Magnoliopsida, Poales, Poaceae.
UUCCUUUGUUCUAAGUCAAAGUUUUAGAAUUUUGACCAACUAUAUAGAAUAAAGUAGUAACAUAUAUGACAUCAACUUGAUAUAUUAUAAAAGUACAUUCCAAUACGGAUCUAAUGAUACUAAUUUAUUGCCAUAAAUGCUGCUGCUUUUUUCUAUAAAAUUGGUCAAAGUUUUAAAACUUUGACUUAGGACAAAAUUUA